UACGGAGGGGGCUAGCGUUGUUCGGAAUUACUGGGCGUAAAGCGCACGUAGGCGGACAUUUAAGUCAGGGGUGAAAUCCCGGGGCUCAACCCCGGAACUGCCUUUGAUACUGGGUGUCUGGAGGUCGAGAGAGGCGAGUGGAAUUCCGAGUGUAGAGGUGAAAUUCGUAGAUAUUCGGAGGAACACCAGUGGCGAAGGCGGCUCGCUGGCUCGAUACUGACGCUGAGGUGCGAAAGCGUGGGGAGCAAACAGG
This 253-nucleotide ribosomal RNA is filed under the name uncultured bacterium. RNAcentral describes it as "partial 16S ribosomal RNA". It matches the Rfam family "Bacterial small subunit ribosomal RNA", at positions 524 to 776 of the family's 1533-position model. The record is from RNAcentral.